RNAcentral lists this long non-coding RNA (1576 nucleotides) under Homo sapiens (human). Its description in RNAcentral is "non-protein coding LINC02427:15". The record is from RNAcentral. Lineage: Eukaryota; Metazoa; Chordata; Mammalia; Primates; Hominidae.
GUCGGCUGCUUGGGAAGGUUUCAACAAUAUUUUCAUCAUAUUUAUUGAAGGCCUCACUGACAGACUUCUCAAGGCCCCUCUACCUUCUAUUCGCUGCCUGGCCCCAAAGCCAGUGCCACACAUUUUAGGUUUUUAACUGCAGCAGCACCUAUGAUGUUUCCAAAAUCUGUAUCAUUAAAGUUUGAUCAGAGAAGCAAAACCACCUUGAGCAAAACAAGGAAUUUAUUAAAGAGAUUAGGAUACACAUUGUUAUGAAAGCUGCAACCUGCUGCCCCUGUGUCCAGAAGUGGGCCUGAAGUCAGCAGGGCUGGCAAAUGGAUGUGCAGUGGGAGAGAGUAGGCGUGAGCUGCACCUGCAGGGAGGAGAUGGAACUCCUGUGGAUGGACUGAAACUGAUGUCUUCCACGUCAGCCUCUCAGGCCUCCAACACUCCAGCGCUGAUGAUGAAGAUGACCUGCAGAGGAGCUGGUGCCCUUCACCAUGGAAUUGCUCAUAAACCCAAGAUUCAGUGAAGCUGAAGAAGCAGUUCUGGUGGGAGCUGGAGGAACUGCAGGCACAGCUGCUGCCCUGUACCAAUACAUUGAGCCAGUGGCUGCCUGGCAUUGUGUGUGAGCCACCACAGCGCCUGGCCCUACACAGACUUUGACUGUAAAUAUGACUGCUGUUUCACUUCUGCCUUCCAAAUUUUGCUCAGAUUUUCUGAGAAACAUAGUUCAGCUUAGGUACAUUGACACAGUACAAAGCCACCGCAGUGGCUGGUUAGGGAGGGAUUAUGAAUGCAGGCUGAGAAUGCACGGGAAGCGUUUGUCUAUUUAUAGAGUAGGUACCAUUCAAGGAUUUAUGUGAAUCAGGUGCAAAGAACUCACACAAAGAUGGGGAAAGUUAGUACUUAGAAAUCAGUGAUACUAGAUAACCAAUAAAUAAAAAUAAACUUAUUUUUAGAAAAUAAGAAAAUAGAAAAGCUUUAAUAAAAUAGUAUUGGGCCGGGUGCAGUGGCUCACGCCUGUAAUCCUAGCACUUUGGGAGACUGAGGUGGGCGGAUCACCUGAGGUCAGGAGUUCCAGACCAGCCUGGCCAACAUGGUGAAACCCAAUCUCUACUAGAAAAAACCACAAAAAUUAGCUGGGCGUGGUGGUACGUGCCUGUAAUCCUAGCUCCUCGGGAAGCUGAGGCAGGAGAAUCGCUUGAACUCAGGAGGUGGAGGGUGCAGUGAGCCAAGAUCGUGCCAUUGCACCCCAGCCUGGGUGACAGAACAAGAUUCUAUCUCAAAAAAAUAAAAAUAAAAAUAAAUAAAUAAAAUAGUAUUGAAAUGGUGAAUAAUACUAUUUCAGCACAUCCUAAACAGAUCAUGCAGAUAGUAAGAGGUUUUCUGCAUGAGUUUGCUAGGGCUGCCGUAACAAAACACCAUGGACGGGAGCUUUAACAACAGAAAUUGAUUUCUCACAGUUCUGCAGGCAGGGUGUUCAGGACCAAGAUAUUGGCAGGCUUGGUUUCUCUGAAUCCUCUCUCCUUGGCUUGCAGGUGGCUGUUUUCUUUUCUUUUUUCUUUUUUUUUCUUUGAGAUGGAGUCUCACUCUG